AACGUAGGAGGCGAGCGUUAUCCGGAUUUACUGGGUGUAAAGCGCGUGCAGGCGGUUCUGCAAGUGGGACGUGAAAGCGCCCGGCUCAACCGGGCGAGGCCGUUCCGAACUGCGGGACUGGAGGCAGGUAGAGGCGUGUGGAAUUCCGGGUGUAGUGGUGAAAUGCGUAGAGAUCCGGAGGAACACCAGUGGCGAAGGCGGCGCUCUGGAACGUACCUGACGCUGAGACACGAAAGCGUGGGGAGCAAAC
RNAcentral lists this ribosomal RNA (250 nucleotides) under uncultured bacterium. Its description in RNAcentral is "partial 16S ribosomal RNA". It matches the Rfam family "Bacterial small subunit ribosomal RNA", at positions 524 to 773 of the family's 1533-position model. The record is from RNAcentral.